Molecule: unclassified non-coding RNA, 253 nt
Filed under: uncultured Gammaproteobacteria bacterium
Lineage: Bacteria; Pseudomonadati; Pseudomonadota; Gammaproteobacteria
Description: contains 16S-23S intergenic spacer region
Rfam family: Bacterial small subunit ribosomal RNA
Source: RNAcentral
UACGGAGGGUGCGAGCGUUAAUCGGAAUUACUGGGCGUAAAGCGCGCGUAGGUGGUUUGGUAAGUCGAUUGUGAAAGCCCCGGGCUUAACCUGGGAAUUGCAUUCGAUACUGCCGGACUAGAGUAUGGUAGAGGGUAGUGGAAUUCCGGGUGUAGCGGUGAAAUGCGUAGAUAUCCGGAGGAACAUCAGUGGCGAAGGCGGCUACCUGGACCAAUACUGACACUGAGGUGCGAAAGCGUGGGGAGCAAACAGG